GCGGGCGUAACUCAGGGGUAGAGUGCUUGCUUCCCAAGCAAGAUGUCGGGCGUUCGAAUCGCCUCGCCCGCUCCA
This 75-nucleotide transfer RNA is filed under the name Dehalococcoidia bacterium. RNAcentral describes it as "tRNA-Gly". It matches the Rfam family "tRNA". From Rfam's summary of the family: Transfer RNA (tRNA) molecules are approximately 80 nucleotides in length. Their secondary structure includes four short double-helical elements and three loops (D, anti-codon, and T loops). Further hydrogen bonds mediate the characteristic L-shaped molecular structure. tRNAs have two regions of fundamental functional importance: the anti-codon, which is responsible for specific mRNA codon recognition, and the 3' end, to which the tRNAs corresponding amino acid is attached (by aminoacyl-tRNA synthetases). tRNAs cope with the degeneracy of the genetic code in two manners: having more than one tRNA (with a specific anti-codon) for a particular amino acid; and 'wobble' base-pairing, i.e. permitting non-standard base-pairing at the 3rd anti-codon position. Lineage: Bacteria; Bacillati; Chloroflexota; Dehalococcoidia. The record is from RNAcentral.